UCUUAUUCAAACUGAACGGCAAUUUAUUAAUAAACAAACAAUGGAUAUGAUCAACAAAAAGAAAAGGAUGAUAGAAUGAGAUUAAUACAGUUUCCCUUUUUAUAAUGAGAGAAAAGGCACAUUUUAAAAGUUUCAGGCAAUUUAACUUGAAAAGUUUUUGGAACACUUUCUGGUGUUUGGUCCGUAACAUCCAACUACAAAUUAAAAAUAAAUUACUAUGUUGCAAUUUACAUUUAAAAACAAGUCCAUGAAUAAAAAGAAAGCGAUUUUCAUAAACAGGGACUUUCCCCCUUCUUUCGACAUAGGAUAAAAUAUUAUCUUACAGGUGAGAGGCAAGGCAGAGGCAGAGGGGCAAGACAAAAUGAGCAGGAAAGCGAGUCUCUGAACGCAAGAAACUUACGUGGUAUCUGGAGUAAACUGUCCUUUUAAUAAACCAUGAUUUUGCUGUCUGUACAAAAUAGUUUACGGUUUUGCUUACUUAGAUAAGGCAAAAAUGGAGGAGGUUCUGCAUUAAUCUUUUAGAAAAAUAGGUUUUCUUUUAAUUGAUGCUGGUGAGUUGAAUUUCAGGAGAGAUUCUGUUCGCUGGUGUGAUGAAUCUUCUCAAGUUUUAAAUUUUGUAAGUUUUUAGUUUCGAUUUUGCAUUGCUGGGUUCUUUUACUGUUCCUGCUCUGGGGUUCCAUUCCGUUUGGCUCUAAGGGUGCCGGGAAUAGGGUCAGAAUUUGCUACAGUCAUAGACGAAAGCCCCCGACGUGCGGUACAGAGACUGGCUGGCAGGAAAAGCCAUCUGACAGCUACUAUUCCCAUUCACCGGAGAGUUGUUUAAGCCGAUCCGCUGAGACUCGAACAUUUCCCGCACCGAGUGGAAGUUCUGCUGCUGGCCAGGAUAGCCCGCGGCCGCAGCAGCCGCCGCUGCGCUCGCCAAGUGACCCAGGUCUCCACCUGCCUGGUUCAGGUACCACGAGGUGAGUCGGCCUUGGUGGGACGCAGGGUGGUGGCUGGUCUCCUGCCCCGCCGUGACUCAGGGACGAAGAGCUGCUGCUGGUCGCUGGGGGCAGCGAGUAAUCGGGCAGGGGGUCGUCCACCGCCGCGCUGCCCCCGCCUCCGGCCGGACCCUGCAAGUGGCCGCCACGCUCGCCCGCCGCGUACAGGCUCAUGGCCUGCAGGUUGCAGUGGUAAGUGGCGGCGCCCCCCGUACCCGCUGCGCUGCUGCUGCCGC
This 1216-nucleotide long non-coding RNA is filed under the name Rattus norvegicus (Norway rat). RNAcentral describes it as "long non-coding RNA NONRATT012432". Lineage: Eukaryota; Metazoa; Chordata; Mammalia; Rodentia; Muridae. The record is from RNAcentral.